RNAcentral lists this ribosomal RNA (253 nucleotides) under uncultured bacterium. Its description in RNAcentral is "partial 16S ribosomal RNA". It matches the Rfam family "Bacterial small subunit ribosomal RNA", at positions 524 to 776 of the family's 1533-position model. The record is from RNAcentral.
UACGUAGGGGGCUAGCGUUGUCCGGAUUUAUUGGGCGUAAAGAGCGUGUAGGCGGCCAUGUAGGUCCGGUGUGAAAACUCGAGGCUUAACCUCGAGAUGUCAUCGGAAACCAUUUGGCUAGAGUCCGGAAGAGGAGAGUGGAAUUCCUGGUGUAGAGGUGAAAUUCGUAGAUAUCGGGAGGAACACCAGUGGCGAAGGCGGCGAUCUGGGAAGAUACUGACGCUGAGGUGCGAAAGCGUGGGGAGCAAACAGG